GGUUAAGCUAGUAAGAGCACACGGAGGAUGCCUAGGCGCCAGGAGCCGACGAAGGACGUGGCGAACGACGAAAUAGCCUCGGGGAGCUGUAAGCAAGCAUUGAUCCGGGGAUGUCCGAAUGGGGAAACCCGGCUGUCGUAAUAGGCAGUCACUCACACCUGAAUGCAUAGGGUGUGAAGAGGCAUACGAGGGGAACUGAAACAUCUAAGUACCCUCAGGAAGAGAAAACAAUAGUGAUUCCGUCAGUAGCGGCGAGCGAACGCGGAAGAGCCUAAACCGGAGAGCUUGCUCUCCGGGGUUGUGGGACGUCUCACAUGGAGUCAGAAAGGUGUUUAUUAGAUGAAGAGGUCUGGAAAGGCCCGCCGUAGAAGGUAAUAGCCCUGUACUCGAAAGUAAAUGCCCUCCGAGACGGAUCCCGAGUACCGCGGGACACGUGAAACCCCGUGGGAAUCCGGCAGGACCAUCUGCUAAGGCUAAAUACUCCCUGGCGACCGAUAGUGAAGCAGUACCGUGAGGGAAAGG
RNAcentral lists this ribosomal RNA (522 nucleotides) under Paenibacillus lentimorbus. Its description in RNAcentral is "bacterial LSU rRNA". It matches the Rfam family "Bacterial large subunit ribosomal RNA", at positions 1 to 514 of the family's 2925-position model. Lineage: Bacteria; Bacillati; Bacillota; Bacilli; Caryophanales; Paenibacillaceae. The record is from RNAcentral.